CACCCACCAGCUCAGGGUGGGCUCUCUGUCUGCCUUUCCUGGAGUUAAGAAUAGUGACGGGAUUUAUCAGCAUUAAAAUCUGGGGCUCCUGGUACGAUGACUUCAAUCAUGUGAUUAGGAAAGAUCACAAUUUAUUACUGGUCAAAAAAGCUAAUAAAAUAUGAACGUGAGUGUAUAGGUGUGUACAUUAACUUGCUGUCUUGAACAUGAGGAAGGCAAAUGGACUCCUUUUUAAACUUUCUUCUAACUAUCAUUUUAUUGUUCAACCUUGUUUCCUCCAGUCAGCUCCUUGAAGUCUGAGAACUCAGCUUGGGGAAGGGAAGAGCUGGCUGCCUUGCUCUUAAUGAAGACAACGUGACAACACUGUCCUGAGCUCAGCAGUGCCUUUAGGAAAGAGUCUCCAGGUGUUUGCCUGCAGGAAGUCAUAAAGUCAAUGCAAAUCGAGACACAGUCUCCACAGGCAGAACAGAACUUCCCUACACAGGGUGCUCUGGCUGUCACUGUUACCAUCUUUGUUACCUUAACGAUCAUUUAUUGAUAAUGGCACUUGAAGAAAGAGCCCUUGAGUAGGUAUUAGAUUUUAGUUACCUGGUGUAUCAGCCAAGAACAGAAGGUUGUCCUCAUAGUAUUGACUCUGCCCGGUUUGCCUCACAUGAAAAUAUCUACCUUAAACUAGAAAUGAAAGAAAAGCUAGGUCUUUUCAACGCUGCUUUCCUCAUUCCUGCCAAAGUGUUUAUUGAAUCCCUAACUAAAACCAUUUGUGCUCUUGAACUUUCCUCCUGGAAAAAAAAAAUAGUGAUUAUUGUUUCUUUCUCAGAGGGACACAAAGAGGGAUUACCACAGGAAAUCCAGAGAGGCUUUAGAAGAUGAGCUUGUGUUGAGAUAGAAGCCAGAAGCCCACUUAGCCAACGGCCUCCAUAGGACCUGGCACGGAGGGAAUUUCUUCAGCAGUAACUAAAGUCAAUGAAGAAAGUAAAGGACUUGCAAAAGUUUCCUAGCUGAUUCUGCCAACUGAAAUAGUUUUAUUAUGCUGUUCUUGUGGACAGAAUGAGUCUCAAAACUGAAAUCAAUUCAAUAAUUGUCCAAAUCCAUCUGAGGCCCUGUGUCUGUAUAAACUAAUUUCCAUGGCUGCUCCCCCAUGUAAGACUUUGCCAUUCUCUGCCUCCAAAAGGACUUGGAUCUAGGAUGACCAUAGCAUCAG
This is a long non-coding RNA of Cervus elaphus (red deer), 1201 nucleotides long. RefSeq lists it as uncharacterized. The record is from RefSeq and is a predicted model, not a curated record. NCBI's taxonomy places the organism in Eukaryota, Metazoa, Chordata, Mammalia, Artiodactyla, Cervidae. The transcript is spliced from 3 exons.